This 1824-nucleotide long non-coding RNA is filed under the name Homo sapiens (human). RNAcentral describes it as "PREDICTED lncRNA (TCONS_00157574)". Lineage: Eukaryota; Metazoa; Chordata; Mammalia; Primates; Hominidae. The record is from RNAcentral.
CCGCCUCCCCCUCCCCCUCUCGGGCGGCCGGGCCCUUCCUCCCUCCCUCACACGCCUCCACCUCUUCCCGAUCUCCUCCUCCCCGAGCCCGGCGCACCGAGCCGGCCGUGCCACCGAGCUGCGGCUCUGGCCCCGGCGCCGCGGGUGCGCUGCGGAUGGGCUUGGGGCGCACCCAGCGAGCAGCGAGAGUCGCGGUGUCCCGGGCGCUCGCUGGCACCGUGGCCGCAGCGGCCGGCCUGGGAGCCAGGAGGGCGAGGCGGCUGCACCUUCGGGGCCAGAUUGGAGUUCGAAGAGUGGCGGGUACCCCAGAAGCUCGGGGCCGGGGCGAUGGCUGCAGCCUCGGGAGGGUAUCGCCGGAUCGAACUCCGGGAAAGGGAAGCAAAGGCAUGGAACCUCCGCACACUGGAUGAGAAUCCAUCUUCCAUUCGAGCUGGGAAUAGACUUUGUGAAAGAUAUUAUGUAAUGGAGUCUCGGGAACCCUGAGACCUCUCCAGCGAAGCUGAAGUGAAUUAAUUAAGUGCUUUAAACGGUCUUGGUGCUGUGUUACGGGAGAGAGUGACUGGAAAGUAACAAAGCUGAAUCUUUCUCCCUGGAGUAAGGCCGAAGACUGGAUUACUACACGCCUAGACGUGACACUACACCCAUAGAUCUCAUGCAUCAUUAAUGCCAUAUGACAUUGCCAUUUUCUUUCUCAGUUCACGGACAAAAGUGGUGGGUUUUCAUUGUCUUCACUGAUUGUCAAUGCAUUAAUAAAGAAGAUGUGUGGUACAUAGUCUUUGUGAUAAAUCAGGUAAAGAAGCAACGGAAGUGAUGCAAAAUGCACGGUGUGGAGAUGGUUUCUCUUCAGUGGUUGUCAGAAAAGGUUUUCGUAAUGAUGGCUCUGUCAUUGAUGGGAUAUGAAGUAGUAAUCCGCUCCGUAGUGACCUACCAUUCACAAGAUGGGUACCAGGUGAAUAACAUUAAUUAAUUGACAAAAAGUGACUGUGGUCAAUGGGGGAAAAAAUCGAUCCCGUGGCAGGUGUGACGUGGGAAUGGCUGGCCCACCCUCUGAUCCAAGAUGGUCUGGCUGCAGGAAGGUGGCAGCCAAGUGGAUUCUGAAAAUCGUGACUAAUGAACCGAAAGUUAAUAGCUGGCAGUGCAAGGAAAGAGGAAACAAAGCUACCUUUGAAAUGUUAUGUUUGUGGAACAAAUUCAUACUUACGAUAAAUAUUUUAGUUUAACCACUCUGUCUAAUCCUGAACCCAAAAGCCAGAGUUACCAGUGGACUAUUCCCCCAUGAUGGGCAUCAGCAAACUAAACAUUUCUCCUAUCAUAUUUCUUUGUCCAAGGAGAGGAAGAGGCUCAUUAAUUAUCAUUGAUUAUUAUAGGGCCAUGAGGAAGAUGUUCAACCGUGGAAAAGGGGAGAGAGCAUUGCAUUUUCUAGACGGGUUUAAAGAGUUGUUGCAAUGAAAUGAUUCCUGUAGUUGGGUGGGAAGUCCGAUUAGAUGAUCUCCAAAGGCCCUCAUACCCUGUGGGUCCAUAAUAAGUGUUAAGUGGCAAAAUCGUUUAAAAUAUGCUAGGUUUUCUAUUAGAAAAACCGAAGAGACUGGGCGUGGUGGCUCAUGCCUAUAAUCCCAGCACUUUGGGAGGCCAAGGUGGGCAGAUCACUUGAGGUAAGGAAUUCGAGACCAGCCUGGCCAACAUGGUGAAACAUGGUGAAACCCUGUCUCUAUCAAAAAUACAAAAAUUAGCCGGGUGUGGUAGCGCAUGCCUGUAAUCCCAGCUACUCAGGAGGCUGAGGCAGGAGAAUCACUUGAACCCAGGAGGUGAAGGUUGCAGUGAGCC